GAGGAAAGCUGGCGGCGUGCCUAAUACAUGCAAGUCGAGCGAACGGACGAGAAGCUUGCUUCUCUGAUGUUAGCGGCGGACGGGUGAGUAACACGUGGAUAACCUACCUAUAAGACUGGGAUAACUUCGGGAAACCGGAGCUAAUACCGGAUAAUAUUUUGAACCGCAUGGUUCAAAAGUGAAAGACGGUCUUGCUGUCACUUAUAGAUGGAUCCGCGCUGCAUUAGCUAGUUGGUAAGGUAACGGCUUACCAAGGCAACGAUGUAUAGCCGACCUGAGAGGGUGAUCGGCCACACUGGAACUGAGACACGGUCCAGACUCCUACGGGAGGCAGCAGUAGGGAAUCUUCCGCAAUGGGCGAAAGCCUGACGGAGCAACGCCGCGUGAGUGAUGAAGGUCUUCGGAUCGUAAAACUCUGUUAUUAGGGAAGAACAUAUGUGUAAGUAACUGUGCACAUCUUGACGGUACCUAAUCAGAAAGCCACGGCUAACUACGUG
RNAcentral lists this ribosomal RNA (497 nucleotides) under uncultured bacterium. RNAcentral describes it as "partial 16S ribosomal RNA". It matches the Rfam family "Bacterial small subunit ribosomal RNA", at positions 28 to 507 of the family's 1533-position model. The record is from RNAcentral.